This 413-nucleotide long non-coding RNA is filed under the name Pongo abelii (Sumatran orangutan). Its description in RNAcentral is "lincRNA". The record is from RNAcentral. Lineage: Eukaryota; Metazoa; Chordata; Mammalia; Primates; Hominidae.
AGGGCCUCAUUUUUUUCUGUCAUUGGAGCCAUCAUUUAUUUAGCAUCUUUGUUAAAUAGAAAGGGGUCUGUCCUGCGUGUGCAGUCUUUGGAUUUAAAAUUAUGGAAAUUCUUCAGGCAGAAAAUGGGCACAUAUGGUUAUCACAGAAAAGCUGUUUUAAAGCCAGUUUUAAGGUAUUAUUAUGCCGCUCCCUUCAAGAAGUAAUUUGCGUGCUGUUUAUUGGAGCUGUGAAUUUAAUCAUCUCAAUCCCACGCUAUUGCAGGAUGACUAUAAGAAGAUGUAUUGACAUUUCUUUGGACACAUAAUUUUGCCUCCAUUGUGUGUUGUUUUGCCAGAAUACUGAAGGCAGUGUUUGUAUGAUGGCACAUCCAAAUAAAAAGCAGGUCCUCCUUUUGUGACAGUGAUCCAUUUAA